This 253-nucleotide ribosomal RNA is filed under the name uncultured bacterium. RNAcentral's name for it is "partial 16S ribosomal RNA". It matches the Rfam family "Bacterial small subunit ribosomal RNA", at positions 524 to 776 of the family's 1533-position model. The record is from RNAcentral.
UACGGAGGGGGCAAGCGUUGUUCGGAAUCAUUGGGCGUAAAGGGCGCGUAGGCGGCUUGGCAAGUCAAAGGUGAAAUCCCUCGGCCUAACCGAGGAACUGCCUUUGAUACUGCUUGGCUUGAGGCCGGGAGAGGGUAGCGGAAUUCCCAGUGUAGCGGUGAAAUGCGUAGAUAUUGGGAGGAACACCGGUGGCGAAGGCGGCUACCUGGACCGGUUCUGACGCUGAGGCGCGAAAGCGUGGGGAGCAAACAGG